UUCACUCCACAUUUGACCUAACCCAUUACCUAUAAAACGGACCUCUACCUUUUUAAUUUCCUAAUUCCUAACACACAAGAACGGCAGCCAUCACCUUAACCCCUCAAUUCCCCGUGGCCAGAUGCAAAAAGAGGCAUAGAAACAAAGCAAAAAAAUGAGGAAAAACGUGACUUUCCUCUUUGUGAUUUUGGGCAACCAUUGAUUCUUUUUCUUGGAAUUCACCAGAGACCAAUGACAUACUCCUACCAAAAAAAUGGAGAAAUGUCCAGAAUUCCCCAAAAACCUUCGGCCACACUUACACCAAAUCACCAUGCCUCUGACGUCGUUGGACUGAUCUCGCCAUUGUUCUCCUUUCAUUUUCUGUUAUUUUUGUGACUUUGGUCAUACAAAAUCAGAUCCGGUUGGUUUUUAAUUUCCCAGCAAGAAGUAGCACCACCGAACUCCAUAGCUGCCGAGCUCUAAUCAGUUUUGUUCUCUUGAAAACUCCAUUUCCUAUUGAGUCGAGGUUGCCGACAAGUUCGAUGUUCAUGUUAGUCCCUGUUUUUAUUCCCUAAUCACAUCUAGCUCACCAAUAUUUGCAGUAAUUGAAUUUCGCUAUUUAAAAAGGAAAGCAGCUGAGGUUAAUUCUUUACUUAUAUAUAUAUAUAUAUAUAUAUAUAUAUAUAUA
Molecule: long non-coding RNA, 667 nt
Filed under: Nicotiana benthamiana
Lineage: Eukaryota; Viridiplantae; Streptophyta; Magnoliopsida; Solanales; Solanaceae
Description: long non-coding RNA (NBEN_LNC005146)
Source: RNAcentral